This 1632-nucleotide long non-coding RNA is filed under the name Citrus x clementina. RNAcentral describes it as "Citrus clementina (C. clementina) long non-coding RNA (CCLE_LNC004430)". Lineage: Eukaryota; Viridiplantae; Streptophyta; Magnoliopsida; Sapindales; Rutaceae. The record is from RNAcentral.
UAAAAACUCUAUUAUAAAAACUCUACUAACAUAAGUUCUACUUAAAUAAACUAUAUUUAAAAAAUUAUACUAAAUAAAGCCUUAAUAUUAUUCAUGCCAUAAAAAUAAAGCAUGAAAUGUUGAGCUCGAAAUCGAUCAUAUGCCAAAGUAUGUAAUGUCAGACAGUUUAUUUGACCACUCAACUAAAAUGGUAUUUGUCUAUCUCCGGAAUCAAUUGGAAUAUACCAAAUCAAAAACCAUUAAAUUGUGACUUUUAAGCUUCAAGAUGAUGGAUCAAAGAAGUCGAAAACGAUUUCCGCAUACCAAACAAUAAGGGAUGUGGAAAGCUCAACACUCGCGAUUGUUCAAAAAAUAAUGUCCCUACACAAUAUGGGAUCAUGCUAACAUUCAUUGUGGUUCAAAAUUUCAACCUUUAAUUUUGACCUUCAAUAAUGUAAGAAUUUCAACUUUCAAAAACAAUAAUUCUACUUUUUUAAAAAAAAUUCAAAUUUUAUAAGGUCUUAUAUGAUGAAAUUUACUACCUUAAUUUGGAUUUAACCCGUUAUUUGGCUCCACAGUUUGAGUAUUCCAUAUGUGUGGGGACAUAUUAGCAUGACUUCAGCUUUGAUAAACAACAUGACUUUUUUCCGAUACGUUUACCAGCCGAUCGAUACUAUAUCACGUAAGGUUCAAAGCAAAGUAUUCAAAUGUUCUAGAUUUUUGUGCUACUUAUUUUAUUUGAAAUUUUGUUGUAGGAGUAAAUUGAAUAUUUAAAUAAUAGUCCUUGAAAUUUUGAAAUUACUAAUAGCUAAAUUUAAGACCACUUAUUGUUAAUCAAUUAACCAUAUAAGUCAACAGUUGAUAUUCUGCAUCACUGUUUAAAUAGAAGAAUAUUCUUUAUCACACUAAAUAUAUACUAAUGUGUCUAGACGUGGGUCCAUCGAGUUGCGCAAGAAUCAAUGCUAUAAUGAAACUUUUCUAAUUCAUUUGAGCAUUUUUCUAACCCCCUGCUUCAAGUUGUUUUGACAAAAGAGAACUUCAUGAUUUCCAAGUAAGUUGACAAAAUAUGUAUAAUUUUAUGAGCAUAUUCCAAGAACAUUUAAACCUGAUGCCCCAUUUCUACCCAACAAGCUACAUGAUCCCAAUGUCCUACUUGGCCUAAUAAGAUGCAUAUUUUCUGUAACAAAUAAGUCAAAUGUUAAAAUUUCUAACAAAACAACCUCAUAUUUUUCCAAUUUCCAUCGUUCUCCAUCCCCUUUUUGUGGCACGUUAAGUUACAUAUACCAUAACAUGACUCCAAUUUGAUUGGGUAGAUCGACGUAGCAGAAAAGAAGAAGAAGAAAAAAAUGUUCCUUAAUGUACGGUUAAUAAAUAGAAAGCCUUUAAUCCUCGACUUUAAUAAUUAGACGAUGAAAAUUGGUCAUAACUCUUAUCAGUAAGUCUGAAAAUCUCUUUUAACAUGCCUAAAAGCAAAUAAUUUUAUAUUUUAAUAAUGAUUUCAAACAAGAACCCAUAAUAAAAUUUUAAGGAAAUGUGACAUAAAUUAAAUUCAUUACAAAAGUCUAUAUCAGCGCCCAAAAUAGAAAAUAAUUAAUAUUCUUACGAUCAAAUGGAGAGAUUUAAGGCCAAUUUGAGAUUGCAGUUACUAAUUAA